UAAUACCAGCAGUUCGAGUCGCAUCCCUUUUUAUUGGGUCUAAAACAUCCGUAGCUUGCCAUAUAAGUCUCUUGUGAAAUCCUACGUCUCAAGCGUGGGGCUUGCAGGAGAUACUGUAUGGCUAGAGAUCGGUAGACGUAAGGAGUACGCCGGAGGUAACGGUUAAAUGUGUUAAUCUUCGGUGGACUAACAAUGAGCGAAGGCACCUUACGAGGACGAAUCUGACAGUCAGGGAUGAAGGCCAGGGGCGCAAAACGGAUUAGAUACCCGUGUAGUCCUGGCAGUAAACACUGCUCACUAAACAUCGGGCCCUCUUCGGGAGGAUUCGGUGCUGAAGCGAAGGCGAAGAGUGAGCUACCUGGGAAGUAUAGUCGCAAGAUCG
This 382-nucleotide ribosomal RNA is filed under the name uncultured euryarchaeote. Its description in RNAcentral is "bacterial SSU rRNA". It matches the Rfam family "Archaeal small subunit ribosomal RNA", at positions 471 to 851 of the family's 1478-position model. Lineage: Archaea; Methanobacteriati; Methanobacteriota. The record is from RNAcentral.